This is a non-coding RNA of Triticum aestivum (bread wheat), 85 nucleotides long. NCBI's taxonomy places the organism in Eukaryota, Viridiplantae, Streptophyta, Magnoliopsida, Poales, Poaceae. The record is from Rfam.
UCGUGCCUAUGAUGAGUUGCACAACUAUUGUCGACAUCGUCUGACAAAUACUGUCAUGAUAUUAAUCGCAAAAUCUGAGGUUACA